This 371-nucleotide ribosomal RNA is filed under the name uncultured organism. RNAcentral's name for it is "partial 16S ribosomal RNA". It matches the Rfam family "Bacterial small subunit ribosomal RNA", at positions 527 to 896 of the family's 1533-position model. The record is from RNAcentral.
GAACCGUCCAAACGUUAUUCGGAAUCAUUGGGCUUAAAGGGUGCGUAGGCGGUGUGGUCAGUUGGGUGUGAAAUCCCUCGGCUCAACCGAGGAACUGCGCCCAAUACUGCCAUACUCGAGGGAGACAGAGGUAAGCGGAACUGAUGGUGGAGCGGUGAAAUGCGUUGAUAUCAUCAGGAACACCAGUGGCGAAGGCGGCUUACUGGGUCUCUUCUGACGCUGAGGCACGAAAGCUAGGGGGAGCGAACGGGGUUAGAUACCCCGGUAGUCCUAGCUGUAAACGAUGAGCACUUGAUCGGAGACUCCUCCAUAGGUUUCCGGUCGUAGCGAAAGUGUUAAGUGCUCCGCCUGGGGAUAUGGUCGCAAGGCUG